Molecule: ribosomal RNA, 641 nt
Filed under: uncultured bacterium
Lineage: Bacteria
Description: bacterial SSU rRNA
Rfam family: Bacterial small subunit ribosomal RNA
Source: RNAcentral
CAACAGUUGGAGACGACUGCUAAUACCGCAUAGUAAGAAAGAUUCGCAUGUUUCUUUCUUGAAAGAUUUAUCGCUAUGAGAUGGACCCGCGUCUGAUUAGCUAGUUGGUAAGGUAACGGCUUACCAAGGCGACGAUCAGUAGCCGGCUUGAGAGAGUGAACGGCCACAUUGGGACUGAGACACGGCCCAAACUCCUACGGGAGGCAGCAGUGGGGAAUAUUGCACAAUGGGGGAAACCCUGAUGCAGCGACGCCGCGUGAGUGAAGAAGUAUUUCGGCAUGUAAAGCUCUAUCAGCAGGGAAGAUAAUGACGGUACCUGACUAAGAAGCCCCGGCUAACUACGUGCCAGCAGCCGCGGUAAUACGUAGGGGGCAAGCGUUAUCCGGAUUUACUGGGUGUAAAGGGUGCGUAGGUGGCAAGGCAAGUCAGAUGUGAAAGCCCGGGGCUCAACCCCGGUACUGCAUUUGAAACUGUCUAGCUAGAGUGCAGGAGAGGUAAGCGGAAUUCCUAGUGUAGCGGUGAAAUGCGUAGAUAUUAGGAGGAACACCAGUAGCGAAGGCGGCUUACUGGACUGUAACUGACACUGAGGCACGAAAGCGUGGGGAGCAAACAGGAUUAGAUACCCUGGUAGUCCACGCCGU